This 950-nucleotide ribosomal RNA is filed under the name uncultured bacterium. RNAcentral describes it as "bacterial SSU rRNA". It matches the Rfam family "Bacterial small subunit ribosomal RNA", at positions 534 to 1500 of the family's 1533-position model. The record is from RNAcentral.
GUAGGGAGUGUCGGGUACUGGGCGUAAGCGCACGCAGGCGGUCGGCUGCGUAGGUGGUGACAGUCCUCGGCUUACCUGAGGAAGCGCUGCCUAAACGGGUCGACUUGAGGGCCAGAGAGGGACACGGAACUCCGGGUGGAGCGGUGAAAUGCGUAGAGAUCCGGAAGAACACCAAAGGCGAAGGCAGUGUCCUGGCUGGCUCCUGACGCUCAGGUGCGAAAGCUAGGGGAGCAAACAGGAUUAGAUACCCUGGUAGUCCUAGCUGUAAACGAUGACCACUAGGUGUGUAGAGUAUCGACCCUCUGCGUGCCGCAGCUAACGCAAUAAGUGGUCCGCCUGGGGAGUACGGUCGCAAGAUUAAAACUCAAAGGAAUUGACGGGGACCCGCACAAGCAGCGGAGCGUGUGGUUUAAUUCGAUGCAACGCGAAGAACCUUACCAGGGUUUGACAUGCCUGUGCACCAGCCAGAGAUGGCUGUGCCCGCAAGGGACGCAGGCACAGGUGCUGCAUGGCAGUCGUCAGCUCGUGCCGUGAGGUGUUGGGUUAAGUCCCGCAACGAGCGCAACCCCUAUGGCUAGUUGAAUCUUUCUAGUCAGACUGCCGCGUCUAACGCGGAGGAAGGUGGGGAUGACGUCAAGUCAGCACGGCCCUUACAUCCUGGGCGACACACACGCUACAAUGGUCAGGACAACGGGUUGCCAACCCGCGAGGGGGAGCUAAUCCCAACAAACCUGAUCUCAGUUCAGAUUGCAGGCUGCAACCCGCCUGCAUGAAGUCGGAGUUGCUAGUAACCGUGGGUCAGCACACUACGGUGAAUACGUUCCCGGGUCUUGUACACACCGCCCGUCACGUCAUGGGAGCUGGCAACACCUGAAGUCGGUGACCGAACCGCAAGGGCGGAGCCGCCGAAAGUGGGGCUAGUAACUGGGACGAAGUCGUAACAAGGUAAC